GGACCAGACUCCUACGGGAGGCAGCAGUGGGGAAUAUUGCACAAUGGGGGAAACCCUGAUGCAGCGACGCCGCAUGAGCGAUGAAGUCUUUCGGUAUGUAAAGCUCUAUCAGCAGGGAAGAAAAUGACGGUACCUGACUAAGAAGCCCCGGCUAACUACGUGCCAGCAGCCGCGGUAAUACGUAGGGGGCAAGCGUUAUCCGGAUUUACUGGGUGUAAAGGGAGCGUAGACGGCCAGACAAGUCUGAAGUGAAAAUCCAGCGCUUAACGUUGGAAGUGCUUUGGAAACUGCCGGGCUGGAGUGCAGGAGGGGCAGGCGGAAUUCCUAGUGUAGCGGUGAAAUGCGUAGAUAUUAGGAGGAACACCAGUGGCGAAGGCGGCCUGCUGGACUGCAACUGACGUUGAGGCUCGAAGGCGUGGGGAGCAAACAGGAUUAGAUACCCUGGUAC
This 448-nucleotide ribosomal RNA is filed under the name uncultured bacterium. RNAcentral's name for it is "bacterial SSU rRNA". It matches the Rfam family "Bacterial small subunit ribosomal RNA", at positions 328 to 793 of the family's 1533-position model. The record is from RNAcentral.